Molecule: long non-coding RNA, 716 nt
Filed under: Nicotiana benthamiana
Lineage: Eukaryota; Viridiplantae; Streptophyta; Magnoliopsida; Solanales; Solanaceae
Description: long non-coding RNA (NBEN_LNC003150)
Source: RNAcentral
UGCAUUUGAAUUAGAAGCCCCACUUUCACCCAUGAUCACCUUAUCACUUUGUAUAUUUUCAGCCAUGUAUGAAUCACUGCAACAACAAAAGAAAAGGAACACACGCAAGGAUAAUUCCAAAAUUAGUAUAGAUAUCCAUAAAUUAAAGCAACUAAAGACUGAAAAGUGUCAAAGUGUUGGAGAGAUUAUCUAGCCUUAAGGUUAUUGAGGUUUAUAUUACAACAAAAUACAAAUAUUGUCAUUUUUUCGCAUUUUUCAUAGAAAUUAAAGUUAUUGCAGGAAAAAAAUUGACGUUUACCUUAUAAUCUAUUAGCACUAAAGUCCCCAACUCCUUGAAAUAAAUUAUUUGUAUCUCAAAAAUGUUAAAAUCUAUAUUGAACCUAAAUUAUCUCGGUAUUUUUUUUAUUUUCCAUCCGAUGUUUAACUUGAUAUUUAUUGCCUUCACAUUUAUUUCUUAAAAUGAUUAUCAGGUGAAAACAUUAUUUUGACAGAGUACCUGGACAUUUCCGACGAGUCGACGACCGAUAAGAAGAGUACCUGGAGAAAUGGAGAGACGAGAUGGCGAGAGGAGGGAGACCGACAACUGCUGGAAGUAGACGACGACGAGCGGAGGCGGAAAGGAUUAGUGGCUACUGGCUGGCGGCGGCUGGUGUUAGGGUUUCUCUGUUCUCAGUCUCAAACUCUCAACUUUCUGUCUUUCACUCUUUCUCUAGAAU